This 527-nucleotide long non-coding RNA is filed under the name Suricata suricatta (meerkat). RNAcentral's name for it is "lncRNA (ENSSSUG00005004467.1)". The record is from RNAcentral. Lineage: Eukaryota; Metazoa; Chordata; Mammalia; Carnivora; Herpestidae.
CGGCACCGCCCCCCGCGGUUCUCUGCUUCCCGGAGGGAGCCGAGCUCCCGGUGUCCCCGGGGAGGGCGAGCCCCCAGGCUACCGGGUGGCCCUGGCCCAGUCCCCAGCCGGCGGGAGCGAGGGGAAGGCUCUGACGGGCGGGCGUCGGGUGUCCUGGCGCUUCCCUGUGGACUGACCCCGAGCGCGAAAAGAUUCAACUACGUCGGAAGAAGAACAUGCCAUUUUGUAGUUUGCCAAAUGAAGUACAGCUCCAACUCUGCCAGACCACAAUCUAUCGAGAAUUUGAAGCUGAAAGUAUGGUUAUAAGAUAAAAAACAUGUACCAAAGGAAUGCUAUUUGAUUCUUGCUGGACAUUUAAAGGUCAUGUCAAGUAAUACAAGCAGAAACAAAAAUACCAACUCUGGAAUUUGAGUUUGAAAGAAAGUGACAUCAAAGGGAUAAAUAAUGCCUCAAUUUUUUGGUCUCCCACCACAUUUUUUUAUUAAAAAAUUUUAAAAUUAUGUUGUCAUUGCAUUAAAAUAAUUUAC